AGUUGCCUGGAUACCUCAUUCUUCCUGGACACAGGAAGGGAACUGGGGACCCACCAAAUAGUAGGACUGAAAGAGCUGUAACACGUGGGUGGAGCCAAGAUGGCCAAAUAGGAAAAGCUCCUGUCUACAGCUCCCAGCGUGAGCAACAGAGAAGAUGGGUGAUUUCUGCAUUUCCAUCUGAGGCUUAAAAAACGGCACACCAGGAUAUUACAUCCUGCACCUGGCUCAGAGGGUCGUACGCCCACAGCAUCUCGCUGAUUGCUAGCACAGCAGUCUGAGAUCAAACUGCAAGAUGGCAGCGAGGCUGGGGGAGGGGUGCCUGCCAUUGCCCAGGCUUGAUUAGGUAAACAAAGCAGCCAGGAAGCUCCAACUGGGUGGAGCCCACCACAGCUCAAGGAGGCCUGUCUGCCUCUGUAGGCUCCACCACUGGGGGCAGGGCACAGACAAACAAAAAGACAGCAGUAACCUCUGCAGACUUAAAUGUCCCUGUCUGACAGCUUUGAAGAGAGCAGUGGUUCUCCCAACACGCAGCUGGAGAUCUAAGAAUGGGCAGACUGCCUCCUCAAGUGGGUCCCUGACCCCCGAGCAACCUAACUGGGAGGCACCCCCCAGUAGGGGCAGACUGACACUGCACAUGGCUGGGUAAUCCUCUGAGACAAAACUUCCAGAGGAACGAUCAGACAGCAGCAUUUGCGGAUCACCAAUAUCCGCUGUUCUACAGCCACCACUGUUCUGCAGCCACCGCUGCUGAUACCCAGGAAAACAGGGUCUGGAGUGGACCUCUAGCAAACUCCAAUGGACCUGCAGCUGAGGGUCCUGUCUGUUAGAAGGAAAACUAACAAACAGAAAGGACAUCCACACCAAAAACCCAUCUGUACAUCACCAUCAUCAAAGACCAAAAGUAGAUAAAACCACAAAGAUGGGGAAAAAACAGAGCAGAAAAACCAGAAACUCUAAAAAGCAGAGUGCCUCUCCUCCUCCAAAGGAACGCACCUCCUCACCAGCAACGGAACAAAGCUGUAUGGAGAAUGUCUUUGACGAGUUAAGAGAAGAAGGCUUCAGACAAUCCUCCAAGCUACAGGAGGAAAUUCAAACCAAUGGCAAAGAAGUUAAAAACUUUGAAAAAAAAA
Homo sapiens (human) is the source of this 1130-nucleotide long non-coding RNA. Lineage: Eukaryota; Metazoa; Chordata; Mammalia; Primates; Hominidae. The record is from Ensembl.